Molecule: ribosomal RNA, 857 nt
Filed under: gut metagenome
Description: bacterial SSU rRNA
Rfam family: Bacterial small subunit ribosomal RNA
Source: RNAcentral
CAGUAGAGGUGGGCGGAAUUCGUGGUGUAGCGGUGAAAUGCUUAGAUAUCACGAAGAACUCCGAUUGCGAAGGCAGCUCACUGGACUGCAACUGACACUGAUGCUCGAAAGUGUGGGUAUCAAACAGGAUUAGAUACCCUGGUAGUCCACACAGUAAACGAUGAAUACUCGCUGUUUGCGAUAUACAGUAAGCGGCCAAGCGAAAGCAUUAAGUAUUCCACCUGGGGAGUACGCCGGCAACGGUGAAACUCAAAGGAAUUGACGGGGGCCCGCACAAGCGGAGGAACAUGUGGUUUAAUUCGAUGAUACGCGAGGAACCUUACCCGGGCUUAAAUUGCAAAUGAAUAUGCCGGAAACGGCAUAGCCGCAAGGCAUUUGUGAAGGUGCUGCAUGGUUGUCGUCAGCUCGUGCCGUGAGGUGUCGGCUUAAGUGCCAUAACGAGCGCAACCCUUAUCUUCAGUUACUAACAGGUUAUGCUGAGGACUCUGGAGAGACUGCCGUCGUAAGAUGUGAGGAAGGUGGGGAUGACGUCAAAUCAGCACGGCCCUUACGUCCGGGGCUACACACGUGUUACAAUGGGGGGUACAGAAGGCCGCUACACAGCGAUGUGAUGCCAAUCCCUAAAGCCCCUCUCAGUUCGGAUCGAAGUCUGCAACCCGACUUCGUGAAGCUGGAUUCGCUAGUAAUCGCGCAUCAGCCACGGCGCGGUGAAUACGUUCCCGGGCCUUGUACACACCGCCCGUCAAGCCAUGGGAGCCGGGGGUACCUGAAGUACGUAACCGCAAGGAGCGUCCUAGGGUAAAACUGGUGACUGGGGCUAAGUCGUAACAAGGUAGCCGUACCGGAAGGUGCGGCUG